RNAcentral lists this long non-coding RNA (1267 nucleotides) under Equus caballus (horse). RNAcentral's name for it is "lncRNA (ENSECAG00000052084.1)". Lineage: Eukaryota; Metazoa; Chordata; Mammalia; Perissodactyla; Equidae. The record is from RNAcentral.
CAGCUGUGUGGAUGAGAAGGGUUAGUCUGGGGACAGGCGUCGGAAGGACGGGAGCAGGAAAGACUCCAGGUGAUGCAGGCACGCAUAGCAUGGCGGGCCUGUAAUCUCAGGGAAUGUUCCACAGCUGCUUCGUCGUCUCAAGCACAGACCCCUCUCGAGUCCUCCACCUCCUCAUCUUCUCUGUGCCAAUCACCAGCUGGGAACUUUCAGUCCCCUAGGAACUGAGCUCCGCUGUAAAGCACCGCUUUCAAUGGAGAGAAAUGCUGUUCAUCUCUUAUGAUAUAUCCUGUUUGAAGCUUCCAAAUAUUGCUUUUUUAUUUUGAUUUUUAAAAACAGAACUACUCCAAAGGGUAGUGAGCACUGGGAAGCUGAGGCUGUGGUCUAAAUUCCCCCUGAAAGUCGUAACCACGGUGAGAUUUUGUCUGUGUAUCAAUCAUACCGUGUCCAUCCUCGUUCUCUGUUCCCGUCACUCCAAGUGUGAGAAGAGACGGAGGACUGCGACAAAGGAGAAGUUCCAGGACUCUGCCUUCUGUUUCUCCUUUUUCUUUUCCAGAGUAAAAUCACCUUGAAAUUACUGGUAAGAAGUUGUAGGCAAUCUGGCUAAGCUACUUGUGGAUUUGUCUUGGCAAGAGUGAAAAUUGGUAAAUUUUGUUUCCUGCCCUGUGCUCUGCAGCUGUUGAAGCUAUUUAUCUGAUUCAGGCAUGCCAAUAACAUAAAUAAUGUUGGCACUGAGACAUGGCUUCCCGUCACUAGAGACUAAGCAUCGAGUUUGGGGGUGAGUCGGUUUGUCAGCUCUGUUAGUGAGAAGACUGGAGAGAAGAGGGUUUAAGCCCAAGCCCCGAGGGGACGAGCAAUAAUAUAGAUGGAAACCUAUGGAUCAAAAAGGUGACAGGUUGACUUGCCUUUUCCUUCUGCCUCAGGCUACACUUGGAGCCUCUCUUUGUUGCCACAGCUGAAGUCAGAGCAAACCUACAACCUUGACAAACCCAGAGGAAGAAGUCCUCUGCGCAGACACUAAAGUGGUGGUUCCCAUGACCCAGUGAAGUACGAAUACAAGGAAUUCAAAAUCCUUAAGGGGCCCCCCUCAAUGUGUAAUGUACCGUGCUAGCAGCAAACGCUGAAGAAUUUUUCCUCAAGUUUAGGGACACGGAGUUUGCGUUCUGUCAGAGUAACAGUCUGCAUUGAAGCGGAGGUCAGGAGGAAACUCUUCCCGGGUGAGACGAACGACCACCACCGCCCUUUCCUCUCGCAAGGCGCUGAGUCGGCU